This 74-nucleotide transfer RNA is filed under the name Thermoplasmatales archaeon. RNAcentral's name for it is "tRNA-Lys". It matches the Rfam family "tRNA". From Rfam's summary of the family: Transfer RNA (tRNA) molecules are approximately 80 nucleotides in length. The record is from RNAcentral. Lineage: Archaea; Methanobacteriati; Thermoplasmatota; Thermoplasmata; Thermoplasmatales.
GGGCUUGUAGCUCAGCUAGGUAGAGCAAUCGGCUCUUAACCGAUUGGUCGGGGGUUCGAAUCCCCUCAAGCCCG